RNA transcript from Panicum virgatum (switchgrass), 1936 nucleotides. It is a transcript of the gene named probable RNA 3'-terminal phosphate cyclase-like protein, with no coding region annotated. NCBI's taxonomy places the organism in Eukaryota, Viridiplantae, Streptophyta, Magnoliopsida, Poales, Poaceae. The record is from RefSeq and is a predicted model, not a curated record. The transcript is spliced from 7 exons.
CCGUUCUCACCCCAAUUCCCCAAGGGACGGCCACCCACCACCCAAGUACAGCCUCGCCGGCGCGCGCUAAAACCCUAACCCCUCCGCGCCUCCGCCUCCUCUCCGCCGCGCGACCGCCCCCAACCCGCGAGGAGAACGAAGGCCGGGGUCGCGAUGGGGCGAGACAAGACCCGGCGUCUCUCCGGCAGCCGCCAUCUCCGGCAGCGGCUGGUGCUGGCGACGCUCACCUCCACCGGCGUCACCAUCGAUGACAUCCGCUCCGGGGACGCCGCACCGGGGCUCCGCCCGUACGAGGUCUCCCUCCUACGCCUCCUGGACAAGAUCUCCGACCGCCACACCAUCGACCUCAACGAGACAGGAACGAAGCUGAAGUACAUGCCGGGGGUGAUUCAAGGCGGGAAGGGCCUUGAGCACGACUGCGGGGUGCACCGGGGGAUCGGCUACUUCCUCGAGCCGCUUAUACUGCUGGGCCUCUUCGCGAAGGCGCCCAUAUCGAUUCGGCUCAAAGGAAUCACUAAUGAUACAAAGGACCCUUCUGUGGAUACUUUCCGGAUGACAACCUUGCAUAUGCUCAAGCAUUUUGGUGUUCCUUUGGAGGGUUUGGAGCUAAAGAUUGAUAGCCGAGGAUCUCCACCCCUUGGUGGUGGUGAAGUGUUUCUCCGAGUUCCCAAUAUAAAUAGCACACUAACGGCAGCAAACUGGGUUGAUGAAGGUAUGGUGAAGAGGAUAAGGGGUGUUUCAUUCUCUACUAGAGUAUCUCCACAGAUUGAAAGCCGCAUUAUCUAUGCUGCACGUGGAAUCUUCAAUCGCUUCAUUCCUGAUGUUCAUAUAUUCACUGAUCAUAGAUCUGGUGCUUUCGGUGGGAGGUCACCAGGCUAUGGUGUAUCAUUAGUUGCUGAGACCACAACAGGCUGCCUGCUCUCUGUAGAUGCCACUGUGAGUUAUCCUAGUGUUGAUGAAAUAAAUGAAGAAUCUGAGAAGCCAGAGCUGAUGUCUCCAGAGGAUCUUGGUGUUCAAGCUGCAUCAUUGCUACUAGAAGAGGUGGCUCAAGGAGGGGUUGUUGACUCUACACAUCAGGGCCUCCUAUUUAUCCUGUGUGCUUUAUGCCCAGCUGAUGUAUCAAAGGUUCGUGUUGGACAGUUGACUCCACAUGGUAUAGAAAUGCUUCGAAACAUCAGGGAUUUUCUUAACGUCAUGUUUGUUAUCAAGCCUGAUCCCAAUUCGAACACUGUUACUUUAAAAUGUGUCGGUGCGGGAGUGAAGAAUAUUGCUCGGAAGAGUUCAUAAGCAACAGGAUUAUGAAUCUCGUCAAUGAUUGAGGACACAGCAAGAGACUACCGUGAGAUCCUGUUUGUAGCUGUGAAACAGCAAAGGAGUUUCCUUAGCUACUGCUGCGGAAUUUUUGUUCUGAGCAGAGCAGUUAGUCUUCGUGUGGAACAAUGGCGCUGAUGUCUUCAAGAUGGGUUAUGCAACUUAGCCCCAGUCUGAAAUAAUUGCAAUGCAAGCAUUACUAAGCCACAGAGAUGGUUCAAAUCAUCAUUACCAAUGAUCUUGUACAGAUAAGCACCAACCCCACCAGGUCCUAUACUCAUAUUGCCGAUAUUAGGACUGACAAAAUUGCUAUUGGCCACCAACUGACACCACUUCGUCGCCAUUACGGUAAGAACAAGCACAAGAGAACUGCUCUCACCAUACUCUUCUCUGUCUGCUGCAGCAUUCCGCAAUCUGUUAGUGAUGAGAAUCUUGUGAGGACUUCAUUGUUAAUCACUAUCAGUGCACUGGUACUUCAAUAGCCACUAGGUAAUGUGUGUACAUGUUAACUGGUAAAGCAUUGGAAGGAGUCAAUCCGAGUCGAGUUGAGGCGUUGAGCAGGUCUCUGCUGCUUGUCAUUUAUCGAACACCCUUUUACAAUGGAAACUAUGUUGGAUUCCAUGCA